Molecule: ribosomal RNA, 999 nt
Filed under: uncultured bacterium
Lineage: Bacteria
Description: bacterial SSU rRNA
Rfam family: Bacterial small subunit ribosomal RNA
Source: RNAcentral
AGAGUUUGAUCAUGGCUCAGGACGAACGCUGGCGGCGUGCUUAACACAUGCAAGUCGUGGGAGCCUCGCAAGAGGCGACCGGCGAACGGGUGCGUAACACGUGAGCGACCUUCCGAUUUGUGGGGGAUAGCCGGCCCAACGGCCGGGUAAUACCGCAUACGCCAGACGGGCUGCAUGGCCUGUCUGGGAAACCUCCGGGGCAAAUCGAGGGGCUCGCGGCCUAUCAGCUAGUUGGCGGGGUAAUGGCCCACCAAGGCGACGACGGGUAGCUGGUCUGAGAGGAUGGCCAGCCACAUUGGGACUGAGAAACGGCCCAGACUCCUACGGGAGGCAGCAGUGGGGAAUAUUGCGCAAUGGCCGCAAGGCUGACGCAGCGACGCCGCGUGUGGGAUGAAGCCCUUCGGGGUGUAAACCACUGUUGCCCGGGACGAACGAGAGGCUUUCGCCUCUGUGACGGUACCGGGUGAAGAAGCACCGGCUAACUCCGUGCCAGCAGCCGCGGUAAUACGGAGGGUGCGAGCGUUGUCCGGAAUCACUGGGCGUAAAGGGCGCGUAGGCGGCUUGGUAAGGGGGCGGUGAAAGCCCGGGGCUCAACCCCGGGUCUGCCGGACCGACUGCCGAGCUUGAGCACACUAGGGGCAGGUGGAAUUCCGGGUGUAGCGGUGGAAUGCGUAGAGAUCCGGAAGAACACCGGUGGCGAAGGCGGCCUGCCGGGGUGUGGCUGACGCUGAGGCGCGACAGCGUGGGGAGCAAACAGGAUUAGAUACCCUGGUAGUCCACGCCGUAAACGAUGGGCACUAGGUGCUCGGGGGAGCGACCCUUCGGGUGCCGGCGCUAACGCAUUAAGUGCCCCGCCUGGGGAGUACGGCCGCAAGGCUGAAACUCAAAGGAAUUGACGGGGGCCCGCACAAGCGGUGGAGCAUGUGGUUUAAUUCGACGCAACGCGAAGAACCUUACCUAGGCUUGACAUGUACGCGAAGAUCGUGAGAGAUCGCGGUC